AGUAAAAUAAGCUAAAUAAGCUAAUGGGUUCAUACCCCAUAAAUGAGUAAAACUCUUUUACUA
This 63-nucleotide transfer RNA is filed under the name Plaxiphora albida. RNAcentral describes it as "tRNA-Met". Lineage: Eukaryota; Metazoa; Mollusca; Polyplacophora; Chitonida; Mopaliidae. The record is from RNAcentral.